Molecule: ribosomal RNA, 2774 nt
Filed under: Enterobacter cloacae
Lineage: Bacteria; Pseudomonadati; Pseudomonadota; Gammaproteobacteria; Enterobacterales; Enterobacteriaceae
Description: bacterial LSU rRNA
Rfam family: Bacterial large subunit ribosomal RNA
Source: RNAcentral
AGCGUACACGGUGGAUGCCCUGGCAGUCAGAGGCGAUGAAGGACGUGCUAAUCUGCGAAAAGCGCCGGCGAGGUGAUAUGAACCUUUGACCCGGCGAUGUCCGAAUGGGGAAACCCAGUGCAAUUCGUUGCACUAUCGUUAACUGAAUACAUAGGUUAACGAGGCGAACCGGGGGAACUGAAACAUCUAAGUACCCCGAGGAAAAGAAAUCAACCGAGAUUCCCCCAGUAGCGGCGAGCGAACGGGGAGCAGCCCAGAGUCUGAAUCAGCUUGUGUGUUAGUGGAAGCGUCUGGAAAGUCGCACGGUACAGGGUGACAGUCCCGUACACGAAAGCACACAGGUUGUGAACUCGAAGAGUAGGGCGGGACACGUGGUAUCCUGUCUGAAUAUGGGGGGACCAUCCUCCAAGGCUAAAUACUCCUGACUGACCGAUAGUGAACCAGUACCGUGAGGGAAAGGCGAAAAGAACCCCGGCGAGGGGAGUGAAAAAGAACCUGAAACCGUGUACGUACAAGCAGUGGGAGCACCUUCGUGGUGUGACUGCGUACCUUUUGUAUAAUGGGUCAGCGACUUAUAUUCUGUAGCAAGGUUAACCGUAUAGGGGAGCCGAAGGGAAACCGAGUCUUAACUGGGCGUUAAGUUGCAGGGUAUAGACCCGAAACCCGGUGAUCUAGCCAUGGGCAGGUUGAAGGUUGGGUAACACUAACUGGAGGACCGAACCGACUAAUGUUGAAAAAUUAGCGGAUGACUUGUGGCUGGGGGUGAAAGGCCAAUCAAACCGGGAGAUAGCUGGUUCUCCCCGAAAGCUAUUUAGGUAGCGCCUCGUGAACUCAUCUUCGGGGGUAGAGCACUGUUUCGGCUAGGGGGCCAUCCCGGCUUACCAACCCGAUGCAAACUACGAAUACCGAAGAAUGUUAUCACGGGAGACACACGGCGGGUGCUAACGUCCGUCGUGAAGAGGGAAACAACCCAGACCGCCAGCUAAGGUCCCAAAGUCAUGGUUAAGUGGGAAACGAUGUGGGAAGGCACAGACAGCCAGGAUGUUGGCUUAGAAGCAGCCAUCAUUUAAAGAAAGCGUAAUAGCUCACUGGUCGAGUCGGCCUGCGCGGAAGAUGUAACGGGGCUAAACCAUGCACCGAAGCUGCGGCAGCGACGCGUAUGCGUUGUUGGGUAGGGGAGCGUUCUGUAAGCCGUUGAAGGUGUGCUGUGAGGCAUGCUGGAGGUAUCAGAAGUGCGAAUGCUGACAUAAGUAACGAUAAAGCGGGUGAAAAGCCCGCUCGCCGGAAGACCAAGGGUUCCUGUCCAACGUUAAUCGGGGCAGGGUGAGUCGACCCCUAAGGCGAGGCCGAAAGGCGUAGUCGAUGGGAAACAGGUUAAUAUUCCUGUACUUGGUGUUACUGCGAAGGGGGGACGGAGAAGGCUAUGUUAGCCGGGCGACGGUUGUCCCGGUUUAAGCAUGUAGGCGGAGGUUCCAGGUAAAUCCGGUACCUUUUAACGCUGAGGUGUGAUGACGAGGCACUACGGUGCUGAAGUAACAAAUGCCCUGCUUCCAGGAAAAGCCUCUAAGCAUCAGGUAACACGAAAUCGUACCCCAAACCGACACAGGUGGUCAGGUAGAGAAUACCAAGGCGCUUGAGAGAACUCGGGUGAAGGAACUAGGCAAAAUGGUGCCGUAACUUCGGGAGAAGGCACGCUGAUAUGUAGGUGAAGCCCCUGCGGGUGGAGCUGAAAUCAGUCGAAGAUACCAGCUGGCUGCAACUGUUUAUUAAAAACACAGCACUGUGCAAACACGAAAGUGGACGUAUACGGUGUGACGCCUGCCCGGUGCCGGAAGGUUAAUUGAUGGGGUUAGCGGCAACGCGAAGCUCUUGAUCGAAGCCCCGGUAAACGGCGGCCGUAACUAUAACGGUCCUAAGGUAGCGAAAUUCCUUGUCGGGUAAGUUCCGACCUGCACGAAUGGCGUAAUGAUGGCCAGGCUGUCUCCACCCGAGACUCAGUGAAAUUGAACUCGCUGUGAAGAUGCAGUGUACCCGCGGCAAGACGGAAAGACCCCGUGAACCUUUACUAUAGCUUGACACUGAACACUGGUCCUUGAUGUGUAGGAUAGGUGGGAGGCUUUGAAGCGUGGACGCCAGUCUGCGUGGAGCCGUCCUUGAAAUACCACCCUUUAAUGGCUGGUGUUCUAACGUAGACCCGUAAUCCGGGUUGCGGACAGUGUCUGGUGGGUAGUUUGACUGGGGCGGUCUCCUCCCAAAGAGUAACGGAGGAGCACGAAGGUUAGCUAAUCCUGGUCGGACAUCAGGAGGUUAGUGCAAUGGCAUAAGCUAGCUUGACUGCGAGAGUGACGGCUCGAGCAGGUGCGAAAGCAGGUCAUAGUGAUCCGGUGGUUCUGAAUGGAAGGGCCAUCGCUCAACGGAUAAAAGGUACUCCGGGGAUAACAGGCUGAUACCGCCCAAGAGUUCAUAUCGACGGCGGUGUUUGGCACCUCGAUGUCGGCUCAUCACAUCCUGGGGCUGAAGUAGGUCCCAAGGGUAUGGCUGUUCGCCAUUUAAAGUGGUACGCGAGCUGGGUUUAGAACGUCGUGAGACAGUUCGGUCCCUAUCUGCCGUGGGCGCUGGAGAAUUGAGGGGGGCUGCUCCUAGUACGAGAGGACCGGAGUGGACGCAUCACUGGUGUUCGGGUUGUCAUGCCAAUGGCACUGCCCGGUAGCUAAAUGCGGAAAAGAUAAGUGCUGAAAGCAUCUAAGCACGAAACUUGCCCCGAGAUGAGUUCU